AUGGUUUCUCUACAGAAAUAUCUCCUUAAGAAUGAUCCUCAGUUCUCUCUGAAAAUCCAUCCACCGAAAGCAAAGGAGCUUUUCAUAAACAAAAAAGCAGUAAUCGACUGUGUCAUAAAUGGUGAUAGUAGGAAGCAGGUGGAAGGAGCAGGAGUGUCAUGGACAGUUGGAGGGAACCCAGCAACUCGUGAUGUUCGUACUGGUAGUGUUACACAGGCAGGAUCAUCAUUUACCAAAACUAGCACACUGACCCUUGAAGAGUCAAAAUGGUUUUCAGGUACAGAAGUGAUUUGCUCCACCUCAAGAGACCAAAGAACAAUCUCUGACAAAAUUACUGUUAAAAAAGGAGGACAACGUCCCUCUAUUAUCAUUUACAAGCCGGAUAAGACUGUCAGUGAUUCUGACUCGGUGUCCCUGGUUUGUGAGGUCAGCAGCUCUGAUCUGGCAAAUGUCUACAUCAUGUGGCAAGUGAACAAUGGUCAGUACAUAGAAGGCAACAGCAUGGCCACCAUCAAAAAUGACAAGAUACUGAUUGUCCUCAGCUACUUAACCGUGACUGGACAGCAGUACAACAGUGCAGAAAUCACUUGUGCAGUCAAAGAUGCCAACAUGCAGAAUGACUUCCAGCCGAGAACGAGCUCACCAUCUAAGACAAGCUCUCCACCAACUAUCCGUCUGGUGGAAUUUGGCCAAUCCAUUAUGUGUAUCAUUGAGGACUUCUACCCAAAGGCUUUGACUAUAAAAUGGAAAAAGGAUGACCGUGAAGUCAAAGGCCGGGACUGGAAAACCACAGAAAAUGACUCGGGUUCUUACAGAGCGGUCAGUGUCCUCGAAGCGAAUCUGAUGUCUUCGAGCCCGGGAACCAAAUACACCUGUGAAGUCACACAUGAGACCAAAACUUACUCAGAUAAUCUGGCAUAUAGAGCUAACUUCUAUUUGAAAAUCAAUCCACCACAAGCAAAGGACCUGUUUCUAAACAAAAAAGCAGUAAUCGAGUGUGUCAUAACUGGUGAUAAUCAGAAGGAGGUGGAAGGAGCAACAGUGUCAUGGACAGUUGGAGGGAACCCACCAACUGGUGGUGUUCAGAAUGGCACUGUUACACAGACAGAAUCAUCAUUUACCAAAACUAGCACACUGAACCUUGAAGAGUCAAAAUGGUUUUCAGGUAGUGAAGUGAUUUGCUCCACCACAAGAGACCAAAUAACAACCUCUGACAAAAUCAGUGUUAAAAAAGGAGGACAACGUCCCUCUAUUAUCAUUUACAAGCCUGAUAUGUCUGUCAGGGACUCUGACACGGGCUCUUUGGUUUGUAUGGUCAGCAGCUCUGAUCUCGGGAAUGUCUACAUCAUGUGGCAAGUGAACGACGGUCAAUUUACAGAAGGCAACAGCACGGCCACUAUCAUCAAAAAAGACAACACAUCGAUUGUCCUCAGCUACUUAACCGUGACUGGAAAGGAUUAUAAUAAUGCAAAAUUCACUUGUGCUGUCAAAGAUGCCAACAUGAAGAAUGAAAUCCAGCCAAGACAAAACACAACAUCUACCAUGGAGCUUCCAAAGCCAGAUCCAGGAUUGUAUAUACAAUGCAAUAAUGAUAUUUCGGAGGAGGACGAGUUCAACAGCCUGUGGUCCACCGCCUCGUCCUUCAUCUUCCUCUUCCUCUUCUCUCUCAUCUACAGCACUGUCCUCAGCCUCUCCAAGAUGAAAUGA
Colossoma macropomum (tambaqui) is the source of this 1707-nucleotide non-coding RNA. Lineage: Eukaryota; Metazoa; Chordata; Actinopteri; Characiformes; Serrasalmidae. The record is from the annotation of a RefSeq genome assembly.